GGGGUGGUGGCUCAGUGGUAGAGCGCUUGCCUAGCAUGCAUGAGGCACUGGGUUUGUUCCA
RNAcentral lists this transfer RNA (61 nucleotides) under Ictidomys tridecemlineatus (thirteen-lined ground squirrel). Its description in RNAcentral is "Spermophilus tridecemlineatus (thirteen-lined ground squirrel) tRNA". It matches the Rfam family "tRNA", at positions 1 to 61 of the family's 71-position model. Rfam says of the family: Transfer RNA (tRNA) molecules are approximately 80 nucleotides in length. Lineage: Eukaryota; Metazoa; Chordata; Mammalia; Rodentia; Sciuridae. The record is from Rfam by way of RNAcentral.